Molecule: long non-coding RNA, 606 nt
Organism: Alligator mississippiensis (American alligator)
Lineage: Eukaryota; Metazoa; Chordata; Crocodylia; Alligatoridae
Exons: 2
Source: RefSeq, a predicted model, not a curated record
GAACAGACCUAUGAGCCUUAUUGUGAAUUGUCUUCCUCAAAUUCCCGGCUAAGGUGUCUUCCCAGUCAAGAUAAAACGAGCUGCCUUUGCCAGUGGUCACCAGCAGAUGGCAAUCCAGGAACAGCUUAGACUGGAACGGUGAGCUGCUGCGCUGUAGAUCCCGACUCUGCCUCUGACGCCCCAUGCCCAGGGCAAGCCUGGAGCGCGCUCGGCAUUGGUCACGCUUGCACUUUGGGACAAGUUAAGUGCAAGUAAAUCACUCUGAAAGAGCCCAGCAGUCCUCGGAAAGUUCCCUGGCGGCUCCGGCUUUGGAUCUCUGUUUAGGGAAAGACUAAAUAGAUUUUUGGUCCUGCCCCAGCUCUUCUCCCACCCCAACUCCACUCCCUCCAGCAUUACUGAAACAUUUGGCAAACAAAACCCGGAGCGAGCGAUUGCUCUAAAUGGCUUUGAACAGAAGCGUUUCUACCUAAGAGCUAAGCACAGAGGAGAAGAACAAACUGUCUCGAAAAAAAAUUCGUGCUGGUGGGACAGAAGAGGCUGUCAGGAGGGGGGAACAAAGUUUUCUACGUGACAAAAUAAACUAGGUAGCCAGCUAGACAGAGCCAA